GACGAACGCUGGCGGCGUGCCUAACACAUGCAAGUCGAACGGAGAAUUAGCAAUAAUUCUUAGUGGCGAACGGGUGAGUAACGCGUAGACAACCUACCCUUUAGAUGGGGACAACACCGCGAAAGUGGUGCUAAUACCGAAUAUUGCUUGAGAAGCGCAUGCUUUUCAAACUAAAGAUGGCCUCUAUUUAUAAGCUAUCGCUAAAGAAUGGGUCUGCGUCUGAUUAGCUAGUUGGUGAGAUAAAAGCUCACCAAGGCAACGAUCAGUAGCCGGUCUGAGAGGAUGAACGGCCACACUGGGACUGAGACACGGCCCAGACUCCUACGGGAGGCAGCAGUGGGGAAUCUUCCGCAAUGGACGAAAGUCUGACGGAGCAACGCCGCGUGAGUGAUGAAGGUUUUCGGAUCGUAAAACUCUGUUGUUAAGGACGAAUGUAUAGAUUGUGAAUAAUGGUUUAUAAUGACGGUACUUAACGAGGAAGCCACGGCUAACUACGUGCCAGCCGCCGCCGUAA
RNAcentral lists this ribosomal RNA (514 nucleotides) under uncultured bacterium. RNAcentral's name for it is "partial 16S ribosomal RNA". It matches the Rfam family "Bacterial small subunit ribosomal RNA", at positions 28 to 523 of the family's 1533-position model. The record is from RNAcentral.